This 301-nucleotide ribosomal RNA is filed under the name uncultured bacterium. Its description in RNAcentral is "partial 16S ribosomal RNA". It matches the Rfam family "Bacterial small subunit ribosomal RNA", at positions 509 to 807 of the family's 1533-position model. The record is from RNAcentral.
CAGCAGCCACGGGAAUACGUAGGGUGCAAGCGUUAAUCGGAAUUACUGGGCGUAAAGCGUGCGCAGGCGGUUCGCUAAGACAGAUGUGAAAUCCCCGGGCUUAACCUGGGAACUGCAUUUGUGACUGGCGGGCUAGAGUAUGGCAGAGGGGGGUAGAAUUCCACGUGUAGCAGUGAAAUGCGUAGAGAUGUGGAGGAAUACCGAUGGCGAAGGCAGCCCCCUGGGCCAAUACUGACGCUCAUGCACGAAAGCGUGGGGAGCAAACAGGAUUAGAUACCCCGGUAGUCCCUGUCUCUUAUAC